Podarcis lilfordi (Lilford's wall lizard) is the source of this 10592-nucleotide non-coding RNA. NCBI's taxonomy places the organism in Eukaryota, Metazoa, Chordata, Lepidosauria, Squamata, Lacertidae. The record is from the annotation of a GenBank genome assembly.
CGUAGCCAGGAUUUAGGUAAGGGGGGGGCAGACCCUCACAUGGUUAAGUGUUUGGUAUUGAUUUAAUUGAUUUGGAGGGAGCUGCCCAUGGGCGUGGCCAGGAUUUUGUUUGGGGGGGGCAGGCUUUUGUUGGGGGGAAGGAACCUCAGAUUUAUAUUGAUUUUUACUGAUUAGGGGGGCAGCUGCCCCCCCUGGCUAUGCCCAUGUGCCAUUUCUCCAUCAGCGGAAGCUUUGGGACCAGAUCGCCCAGCGUUGUCUUGCGCUCUGCGCUGGUGGUGGCAAGCAGGUUCACCUGGGCUGCGUCCGGACAGGGCUGGUGCACCCAUAAGCAGAGCCGUCUUACCCAUAGGUGCUAGGGGUGCCGGGCACCAGGCCGAGAGCCCAGGCCCAAGAGUUGAGUCUGGGGAAGAGCCCACCCGUCGGAGUGCUGGGCCUCAAGUUUGGGGGCAGCCAAGCCAGCAAGACGCUGAGGCGGCCGGCCGGCUCCACCCUCCUGUGUGCCCGGGACUAGGCAACUGGGGGGGGGCGGUGCCAGGUGGAUCUUUGCCCUCUGGUACCGCCUAUGCUUAAAACAGCCCUGCCUAUAAGGCAAGGUGAGGCCACCGCCAGGGGCAGCAGAUCCAAAAGCAGGUCUCUGUCCCCCCCACCCUCAUGUUCCAGAUGUAGACCUUAGGUCACCCCAUCUUCCCUGGAGGCAACACCAACUCUGGGCUGAGCCCCCCCCCCCAGUCUUGAGGGGCGUGGCCUCAUCAGGUGGUGGGGUCCUGUUGGGCCGUGUGGGGCCUCCCUGCAGCUGUGGUGGGCCUCACAGCCUCCUCCCACUGCGUGCAUGCGCAUCAUGCAUGUGAUGACACACACGGAUGCCGCCCCCUUCCAAAGCUAGGCAGAACCAGGCGCCUGUGCCUGCCAGGGAAGCGGAACUGCCGUUUUGUGGUUCACCUCAGGUGCCAUUAUGUCUUGGGCUGGUUCUGUGUGCCACAUUUUAUGAAGAAAAGGGAGCAUGUCCAGAGUAUGCUAUGGGGUCUCGGAACCAAGAUGAGAAAUGGUUGAAAAAGUCGGGUAUGAUUAGCUGGAAGAGGAGAAGAUGAAGAGACUUUUUAGUAGGUUUUCAAAUGUUUGAACGGUUGUUACGAAUAAGAUGGAGUGGGUUUGUUCAUUUAAAGCACCUAGGAAUUGUAGUUCACCUAUCACAGAGUUACUUUUCCCAGCACCCUUAACAAACUACAGUUCCCAGGAUUCUUUGGGGGCAAGCAGUGUGGAGACAGCCCUAGGAAGCUGGACUACUGCAGUAUGGGGUCCGUGGGGACUGUCCAUAGGGUGGAGGUUCCUCCUCCUUAGUCUCAGUGUCCUCAAGGGCACCAGCAACUGCUGCUUCCGGCUUCUAAAACCACAUGAUUCUCCAUGUGAGGGCAAGUAGUCCUUCAGCUAUUCUGCUCUUAGGCAAGUUGAACAGAAAUUUUACAGGGCUUCUGCACUUUGGAGGUAUCAGUGGGUUCUUAAUGCAGUUGCAGCCCUAUUAAAAAAACUGGGGAACUCCAGAUGUUUUGCAGGAGGCAUUCAAGCACAUGCCAGACGUCUAAGCAUGUGCAGUUAAAGUGGUUGAACAUGCACAGCAAAUUCACUUUUUAAAAGAAAAUGGAAAAAGGAGGGGCAAAUGCACUGAAAAGUGUGGGAUGAACAUAUGAUUAGUGGGAAGAUGUAUAAACACCACAGAUACAGAUCAAGAGGAAUACCCGUUGUCGUGUAUGGCAGGACAAAUACUCAGUAAAUACCAGAUAUAGUCUAACCAGCAUGUAAGCUUCCUGAUAGCAAACCGGGAGGAAUGAUCACUAAACGGGUUUCUCUGGAGGAACUCUACCACAGGGGCAUGGCCUUGGAUCAGUAGUGUAGGGACAAAUUCAGAUGUACAUUGUUCCUUCACACUCACAGGACAAAUCCUGCACAGCCACCCACCCUUCUAAGAUUAUCCAACCUUCUAAAAGCAUACAAUAAUCUUAUAAUUAGACAAUAAUAAUUAGCAAUGCAUUGCAAAGUUCAGUGCAGAUGUCCACGUGCUACUUUUAAGCCAAAUCUGCUAUUUCCUGCAGUGAUGAUUGGGCAAAUGAUUUGGAGUGCUACAGUAUCUUCUUUCGGAGUGAUUUAAGUUGUGUUUUCCUUGGCGCUUCUCCUGAAGCUAACGUACCUUGUGUUUUCAGUGUUCCUUAAUACUUAGCUUUGGAGCAUACAGAAGCAUAGCUGUCAACCGUCCCUUAUUUGGCGGGAAAGUCCCCCUGCUGUCCCUUAUUGAUGAUGUCCCUUAAUUUUUCUGGGUUUCAAUGGAAGCAGCUCCUCUCCCUCCCUCCCUGCCAGCCAGGGAGGAGGGAGGCUCCAACUGUGUUUUUUGGCUGCGUUGCUCACCCAAUAAGGAGUCUAAGAACGACUGGGGGGUGGAGCUUGUAUGCCUUGUGCCGAUCAAAUCGGCCGCGUUGCCUGGGGACUCGCCUUUGCUCAGCGCUUCCCAGCGGAGAGGUGACGGUGGUUUUCCUUGAGGCUUGAGGCCUCGUUUGGCUGCUGGCUGGGCUUUCUGCCUUUGGCUCGGAGGGCUCAGAAGUUGAACAUACCUGUGCUCUGAAAAUCCCUUAUUUUGGCUGCUGAUCCCUUAUUUUCGAGGCUGCUUUUCAAAUCUGUAAGAUGACAGCUAUGUACAGAAGGACUUCUCGGUGCCCUUCCUGCGCGUCUUCUCCAAAGUGACCCUAGGAGUCAAUACUUUGUGGCUGACUCACUUCCUUUCAUCAUCAUUGACUCCAAUCAGCAGAAAGGGCGAGAGGGCUUCUCAUUCAGUGGUUAAAAAGCUCUCCUUUCAUGCCGGCCUGGUGGUUCUAGGGUGCUGGAAACAGGGCCCCUGCCACAGAAAUAGAAAUGGGACUUUAAGCCCAUCCCGCAACCCUGUGGCACUACACCUCAGCCUAAGAUUAUAUGUCAAAGGAACAUACAUCAUCAGACACUCUGUUCUAGAGGCAACUUCCCAAAGGUCCAUUUGAACCACAUUUGCUUUGCUCGUCGCUUUAAGACAUACACUGCUUUCCAUCUCUGCUCAGGGUCUGGAAAAUAUUACAUGUUCCUUUUUGGCAGUGAUGAAAUAAACAACAAUUCACUCUGGACUUGGUAGCUGCUUAAUUUCGCUGCAAAGCAAUUAUGGAGGCUAAUGGAUUCCUUGCAGGGUUUGCACUCUUAGGAUCUGUGCUGUUAACGCCAGUGUUUGAGGUUUAUCUUCCUGUCUGUUUGACCUCAUAAGAAAAAAUCCUACCAGAUUUCAUCAUGUUUAAUUAUUAAAGUAACCCUUUGGGAUGCCAGUUAGGAUUUUGGACAUGACUUUGGGUAAGUGCUUCUCUUGGUGUUAAUUAGAAAAGCUGAUUGCCAAAGAACCUCCAGCACAAAUAGCUACUGUUAUCUAACAGCCUGCACAUGGGAUUGAUACUUAUACACUGAAGACAACUUACUUUUCCAUCUUUUGCAGGUUAGGUCAGAAUGAGGCCCCACUGAAUCCUUUCCUCCCUGGAAAGGGUGCAUAGAAUGGCAACCUUACAGAGCUGCCCUGCCCCUUUCUUCCCAAGCACUUUGUCAUUGAGUCUCUUUUCCACCUGUUAAAUUUUAGAGGGUCUGUUUCUGUUUGCAUUGGGGCAGGAAGCCUUGCAGCACCUGUGGCUUUGCUAAAGAGGUACAAAGCUCCCUUCCUCUUUUUAUUCAGAAACUUUGUACUUGUCUUAUUAUGUAAGAUGACUCUUCUGUGUGGUAUCUGAAGAAGUGUGCAUGCACACGAAAGUUUAUACCCAGAACAAACUUAGUUGGUCUCUAAGGUGCUACUGGACAAUCUUUUAUUUAUUUCGACUAUGUAGUAUGGUUACUGGCCAACCCAAUCUCUGCUGAGCAGUGCAUGAGAUACCAAGGGUAUUGGCACUUAACUAGGGUUUAAUCCAUGGGUAGGCAAACUAAGGCCCGGAGGCCGGAUCAGGCCCAAUUGCCUUCUAAAUCCGGCCCGCGGACGGUCGGGGAAUCAGCAUGUUUUUACAUGAGUAGAAUCUGUCAUUUUAUUUAAAAUGCACCUCUGGGUUAUUUAUGGGGAACAGGAAUUUGUUCAUUUUCUUUUUUUCCAAAAUACAGUCCGGCCCCUGCUGACCCCUUUAAUCUUCAGAAGAUUAAGGCACAAUAGAGGCUAUAGUGUCUUUAUGAAACAUGGUGUAUUUACACAUAUUUACAACCUGAAGCCUUCAGUGAAGGGGCGUGCAGAACAUUGCAGCCAAAGAGUGUUUCUUGUUGCUUCUCCCAUAACUCCAGCCAACUGGAAGCAGAAGCCAACCAUGCGCCCAGUCUCUCUUGAGUAUGGCCUCUCCCAGCCAACCCACAUGGAGUUCUCCCCUGCUGCUUCUUUCCAGAACCCCUUGCCAAAUGCAAAUCCCGCUUCCAUUUACAUCAUUGCUUUCUGUGAGCCUGGAAACCUCCUCCUCCUGUCUCUGCCUGCUAAAAAAUUGCGUUGUCAAUUGCCCAAAUACUUCCCUUAAUACUCCGAAUAUUACUCCUAAUAUUUCCCUUAAUACUCCAAAUAUUAGUUACAUUAUAACAUCUACUAAUUUAAUAAUUUAGGGGGAUUCCCCCCACCAAAGCUCAUAAAAGUAUGCUACAGGAAGGAAGGCAUCCUCAUGUCUUGUGGAGAAGGUUGCUUGCUCUUAGAAUAAAUGGCAAAAUAGUGAUAUACCUAGGAAGCUGCUUUAGCGAGUCAGACCAUUGGUCAGUUUAGCUCAGUAUUGUCUAUAGUGACUGGCUUUCUAUCUCUGGGAUUUCAGAUGGUCUUUCUUUCCUAGCCCUACCUGGAUAUUAAAAUGGGUUUUUUCCAUGCAAAGCAGGUGCUCUACUACUGAGAUAUGGCCCUUCCUCUAAACCGGGGAAUUACGGGUUUUCGGCUAUGUGUAAAAGGAGAUUGGAAUGCUCUCCCUUUAGAAAUGUUGCUUAAUGAAGAAUAUUCUUACUUGUUAGAGAAACAAGGACGUGAAAAUGAAGGGAGGCAUGGAAACAAGAUGGAAUAGCAGGCCCCUAAAAGUUCUGAAGAAACAUCCAUACUCGGGAGGAACAAGGCACCCUGAGCAGGUUGGUGGGAUGGCAAGGUAACAGCGACUUGCCUUCUUUUGUGACAUCUCUUGCUGCCGUCUUAAAAUUCACUAUCCCAGGGGUGUCUAGGGUGGGAGUCUGAGUAUGUGUCAGAGAGGAGAGAGCAGAGGAGGCUUUUGUUUAUUUUAUUUAUGUUGCUGCUUAUAAUCUGUUUAGAUCUUGGUUUACUUUGUUACUUAUACCUUGUUUGUUCAUAGAAUCAUAGAGUUGGAAGAGACCACAAGGGCCAUCGAGUCCAACCCCCUGCCAAGCAGGAAACACCAUCAGAGCACUCCUGACAUAUGGUUGUCAAGCCUCUGCUUAAAGACCUCCAAAGAAGGAGACUCCACCACACUCCUUGGCAGCAAAUUCCACUGUCAAACAGCUCUCACUGUCAGGAAGUUCUUCCUAAUGUUUAGGUGGAAUCUUCUUUCUUGUAGUUUGGAUCCAUUGCUCCGUGUCCGCUUCUCUGGAGCAGCAGAAAACAACCUUUCUCCCUCCUCUAUGUGACAUCCUUUUAUAUAUUUGAACAUGGCUAUCAUAUCACCCCUUAACCUCCUCUUCUCCAGGCUAAACAUGCCCAGCUCCCUUAGCCGUUCCUCAUAAGGCAUCGUUUCCAGGCCUUUGACCAUUUUGGUUGCCCUCCUCUGGACACGUUCCAGUUUGUCAGUGUCCUUCUUGAACUGUGGUGCCCAGAACUGGACACAGUACUCCAGCUGAGGUCUGACCAGAGCAGAAUACAGUGGCACUAUUACUUCCCUUGAUCUAGAUGCUAUACAACUAUCGAUGCAGCCCAGAAUUGCAUUGGCUUUUUUAGCUGCCGCGUCACACUGUUGGCUCAUGUCAAGUUUGUGGUCAACCAAGACUCCUAGAUCCUUUUCACAUGUACUGCUCUCAAGCCAGGUGUCACCCAUCUUGUAUUUGUGCCUCUCAUUUUUUUUGCCCAAGUGCAUGUUUUUGUCCUUUCUUUUAGACAGAUAUUUAGAGAUGAGGUCAUGUUACUAAAGUGGGUAUUUUAGAUUAGAGUCUUGCAAGUUGUCUGGGGUGGGGGGACGACUCCCACUUUGUCAAACUGCUGGAAAACAGAAAGGAAAGGAAGAGUGUGGUCACUGCUUCCCUGGAGUUAGACCGUGCAUUGCCGAAGAUGCUUGUGCACUACAGGGUCUCAUGGAACUGGCAGAUCAUGCAGGAGGUUUCUGCAUAGCGAAGUGUCUGAGGAGGAGCAUAAAGAUUGAGGAGGCAUUGCUGGGGGAGUGAGAAUAUGGAGAGGUUUGAUAAGGUUGAUACAAUAAUGCUAAAAAUCCGUAAUCUGUUCUCUCUCCCUCCUUUCCACAUCCUCUCCUGAAUCUACAGAUCCAUCUCUAUGAAAAUGAUCUUCGCCAUAAGGAUCACCAAGAAAUCUUUAAAUUGAUGCUGAGGAGCCUUCUUUCAGAGGCCCCAACCAUCAAGACAUUACCGUGCAUGUUGAAGUGAAUGUGUUGAUGGCGUGACAUUACGUCUCAUUUCAGCAGAGCGGCUCACCCCUUCAACCCGUGUUUUGUCAGCAGAAUCACCCACUGUUCACCCCUUGGGUCCUUCCACUGCCGGCAGGCAAGCUGAACACCCUGGAGACUUCGGGACAAGCAUGCUUCAUGACGGGUUGUGGUCUGUGCUCCUGUUUUCUCGAGACAGACGAAGUUGCAAGAUGAGAGAAAAAGGGGGAGCAGCUGAAGGCGAAGUUGCCCCAACGCCCAAGUGGGGUUCUUAGGAGGCAAAAGUUCCAGGCGGCACAACAAGGGGUUUCCCCUCCUCAAAUUUGAACAAAACUGAGAACUGAGCAAAGAGUAGAGGGGAAAACCUCAGCGCUCUGAACGAAAAGCACUCACACUUGCCAACAUCUUGAAACCCGAGUGAACAGCACUGGUCUACUCUGCAAAAAUAGGGAAUUAAAAAUCAACCAACUGCAUCCCAAUAACAAGCAAAAAGCAAGGAGCAAAGAGGUACGUGAAGGGGAUGGCAGCAACCACGAAACAACAACGAAAAGCGUGAGGGAAGGAUUAAGGUGGGUCUACCUCAAUGCAGUUGUUAAACUGUAAAACUACGCUGUGAAAAUGCAGAAGAUGCUUACGCACUACUGCAGGGGUCGGCAACGUGCGGCCCAUGGGCCGGAUGCAGCCCAUGGACUGUUUUUCUGGCCCACAAGCCGCCCCCAAACCCAGCCGCCCACCUGGCGAGUCCCCGCAUGCUGCACUAAACCAGCGUGGCGUGGGGACUCGCCGAGUGGUGCCAGAAAUUGUGUCUGCGCAUGUGCAGAUACCAGAAAUCAUGUUUGCGCAUGCCCAGAUGUUGGAAAUCACGCCUGUGCAGAAGCGAUUUUCGGCCUCUGGGCAUGUGCAGAAGCAAUUUCCAGCAUUGUGCCGCACCAGUCUGGCCCACGGACAAUCUCCGUGGGAGUGAUCCAGCCCAUGGCUGGUAAACCUUGUCAACCCCUUCACUACAGGGUCUCAUGAAACUGGCAGAUCACGCAGGAGGUUUCUGCAUAGUGAAGUGUUUGAGGAGGAGCAUAAAGAUUGAGAAGGCAUUCCUGGGGGAGUGAGAAUACUUAUCAAACGGAGGUUUGAUAAGGUUGAUACAGUAGUGCUAAAAAUCCAUAAUCUGUUCUCUCUCCCUCCUUUCCACAUCCUUUCCUGAAUCUACAGAUCCAACUGUAUGAAAAUGAUCUUCGCCAUCAGGAUCACCAAGAAAUAUUUAAAUUGAUUCUGAGGGGCCUCCUUUCAGAGGCCCCAACCAUCAAGACAUUACCAUGCAUGUUGAGGUGAAUGUGUUGAUGGUGUGAUGUUACGUCUCAUUUCAGCAGAGCCGGCAGGGAGGCUCACCCAUCGUUCAGUCCUUGGGCCUUUCCACUGCCGGCAGGCAAAGCUGAACACCCUGGAACAGCACUAGCCCACAUAUCUGGCAAGGGAUCUCUCUCUCCUGGUGUGCAAGAGGGAUGGUGGUCUUGAUUCUGAGGGGCUUUUUCCUCCUAUAGAGCUGAGCCUUUGCAUGAUAACAAGCUGAGGAGAAGAUGGGCCUGGCUGUCAGCAGCAUCCAAUAUCUGCUGGCAUGUGCAGGGAAGUUUCCCAACCUGAUCUUAUGCAUCUCACCUUCAUUCCCUUAUUUCAAAUAGUUUGAGGACAAAUGACACCAGAGGUGGGUGUAGCAUGGUCUCCCCGUGGGGCCAUGAUGGUUCAGGUGGCAUUUUUUGCCCUCCCUCUUGGACAACUCCCGUCAUCCCUGACCACUGGUCCUGUUAGCUAGGGAUGAUGGAAGUUGUAGUCCCAAAACAUCUGGAGGGCCGAUUUUGCCUAUGCCUGCCAUAGAGUUUCCUUUGAGGUAAAGGAGUGGAGCUGAACAUCUGGAUCUCACUUAGUUCUGCUUUGGAUUUCUCUUGUACCAACUCUCUGGGUUGGGAUGUACGUGUCCAAAAACAAAGGACCUGAUUUUCUUGUCUCAGCAGUUGGUAUCCAUUAAAGAUACCUUCUUUCCAGAACUGGCCUGGCUGUGCCCCUGAAACAGAAGCUAAGAUCCCCAUGUGGAAUUCAGAAUGAACUGACAGGCCUCACUUUCCAGACUAAAGCCAUCACCUGUAGCUUAACUGGGACCUGAGGACAGCCUGCUUCACAGCUGUAACAUGGAGUCUUGAAAUCCCAGUCUUUCACCAUGGCCAAAAAGCAGGGAGGGGAUGGGGAGGCAGUUGCCAGCUGCUGUGUCAAUGUUCAGGUUUUUGUAUGAAAAUACAAUGAACUCAGUUCUGAUGUUGCAAAUAAAUCAUUGGGCUGAGCAGGUGCUUAGAGGCACUCUGUUCUUAUAGCUAUCUGUGUAUGUCUGCUCCCACUCUGUGCAUCAGUUUUGCACCUGGUUUGGGUUGGAACAUGGGGGGGGGGGAGUUACAGUAAAAUACAAAGCCAAGCCUGAAGUCUGCCCGUCCCUGUUAGGAAGAAUAAACUGUAUCAAGUGUUAUAAAUAGCAAUAUGCUGUUUGACUCAUCUGCUUUUGUGUGCCUGUAUAAUUAGUGGUGCAGGCACUCUCUGUGGGUCUGAGCUUGGGAAGCCUAAAGGAACAGAACGUCGUGAGGAGCAACUGGAUGAGGGGAAAAAUUGAAUACCACAAAUUGACUUGCAAUAACAAACCCCUGAAGAGUGGGAGAGGCAAAGCCCAGGGUGAGCAGGCAGAUUUCUCCUUUUUCCAGUCUUUGAGUCCUCAUUAAAAGUAAUCAGCAUUUAAGUGCAAAUUUCUCCUAAUAUCCACAUUUUUGCAAACCAAUUCCCCCUAAUGCAACACAAGUUUGAAUAUUACUUUCAUGAACAUACAGCAUACACAUUGGUGGGCUUUGCUGGCCCUUGCAAGGGCAGCAGAUCUCACAGGGCCUCCCGGCAGCAGGUCUUGCCAGGCUGCGUGUUCAGUUUGGGUUUUUUUGAAUGGGGCUAUACAUUUAAACAAAGUAAACAAACAAGCCACACCCCGCCAGCAGUUGCUUCUGAGCAAUUCCAAAUAAAAUGAACGGGAGCCGUGCAAAAGCCCAGUCAUAUGCCGUGGGGGUGGGGACUCGAUUUCUUUCUUUGUGGUUCUGCUAAUGGAGGCUGAUCUGGCGAUUACUUAAGGGAAGUGGCUCAGGUUAAUGGGAAGGAAAGUAUUGGCUGGGGAAGAAGAGAUUGAUGAGAAAGGCAAGAUUAAUUCUUGCUGCGCAGUCUGGGGUCAGCAGGAUAGCGAAGAUAUUGUUCAUGGAAAAUUGAGCGCUGGUCUUUCCAUUACUGAUAUUAAAAGGUUCCAGGCAAGCAUUAGGCAUACAUCUGGAAAUAAUCUGCUGUUUUGCACAGGGAAGUGCUUUGGUGUGUGUGGACCUCUCAGGUCUCUGCUUAAGGCUUCUGCGUUCAUUCCUCACCCUCCUUUCUACCACAGGUGCCCAAAUUAGGAGGGGGAGGAAUCAUUCCAUUUUGGUUUCUCAUUAAGUUCAGUUCUCCACAAAAGCUUGAGAUUUUUAAAAAAGUCCUCAUGAAGAUUUGUCAGCAUUUUUGUGCAUGUUUCUUCCAAUAUACAUAUUUUGGUGUGCUAUUUUGCCCAAUAUACAAAUUUUUGCAAGCGAUGUCCCCAUCAUAUAAUUCAUUUUUGUUACGCAGAGUUGGCAAAGUUAACAGAUAAACUUCGUGAAAAAGACAAUAGUGAUUUUGAAAAAUAAUGGGAACCUUUUACAUCAUAUUUGCAGAAGCAACAAAAAAACAUAGAACCAUUGGCAGGAUUUUAAUAAACAUUUGCAACUUUAUUUAUGAAAAACAAGAAACAUAACAGUACGACAACAAGAAGUAUAUACAAACAGCAGAAUGUAAUAUGAGAUGUAAUAAACCUGGGAUGGAAGUUGAGGGAAGUCAGUAGGGAAGGGGGAAAUUGAAAUUUGAAUGUAAUGAUUAUAGAUAUUGUUAUAAGAGAAAAAAAUCUAAUAAAAAUGAAUUCAUUUU